RNAcentral lists this ribosomal RNA (163 nucleotides) under uncultured bacterium. Its description in RNAcentral is "partial 16S ribosomal RNA". It matches the Rfam family "Bacterial small subunit ribosomal RNA", at positions 355 to 509 of the family's 1533-position model. The record is from RNAcentral.
UAGGGAAUUUUCGUCAAUGGGCGCAAGCCUGAACGAGCAAUGCCGCGUGAGUGAGGAAGGUCUUCGGACUGUAAAGCUCUGUUGCCGGGGGAAAAAGGGGAAAUGCAGGAAAUGGCAUUUCAUGGAUGGUACCCGGCCAGAAAGCCACGGCUAACUACGUGCC